This is a long non-coding RNA of Saccostrea cuccullata (small rock oyster), 1825 nucleotides long. RefSeq lists it as uncharacterized. NCBI's taxonomy places the organism in Eukaryota, Metazoa, Mollusca, Bivalvia, Ostreida, Ostreidae. The record is from RefSeq and is a predicted model, not a curated record. The transcript has 3 exons.
GUUUUAAAAAUAAAAUUUUACAUAUCUUAAUCACAAUAUUGCACAAGCUGACCCCUAGCACCAUAAUUUCAUUAUAAAUGAUAUACAUGGAAAAAAAAGAGAGAUCAACUGGCAGACUAAUUAAGAAUUCAAAACAUGGGAAAAAAACAUUGCCAUGUAUAGUAUUCAGACAUAUGUAUUCAUUUGACCCCCUACUAAACAUAAAAAAUUCUAAACAUACAUGAAAAUGUGCUACAUUGCUGCCUGCAAAAAAGGUGGAUUCCUUAUAAGUGCAAGUUUCUCUGCGUAUAGUAAAGUACAUUUUAAAAGAUUUAUCAUUUAAUUCAAUCUAAUUUUAUCUUAAUAAUUUAAGACACACAAGAAUUUAAAAAGUUAUCCGGUGAACAUUUCUUUUAUUACUAAAAACCAAUGGUCUUACUUUCUUAAUUGCACUGCAAGUGUCAAGUACAUAUCAAAUUCCAUGCAAUCUCCUCAAAAUACACAUUUCAACUUCAAAAAUUAAAUGAACGAUAAAAUAUUACUAAAGAACCUUAGAGGACCAUAUAAUUUUACGAUUAAAACACAAAUAAAGCUUACAUAAAGUCAAUACAAAUGAUGCAUAUCAAAUUCCAAGCAUGUCCUCAAAGUUCACUUUUCAAAUUAAAAAAUAAAUAGACGAUUAAAUAUUACUAGAGAACCUUGGAUGAACAAAUAAUUUUACGAGUAAAAUACACAUAAAUCUUACAUAAAUCAGUGCAAACAUCUGUGAAUAAACUAUUGUUUAAAUUAGAUUAAUGCAAACAUUGAACACAGAUUUCCGUUAUAUAUGCCAAUGCGACAUUCACAAUUCACAAUUCAGGACAUGAAAGAACGCAAUACUGAAUGACCUUGUCAGUUUUGUCAAAGACGUUACAAACUUCCUAAUAGCAACGUUUUCAUCUUCUGGACCCUUCAGCUACUUGUAAGUAAGACAUAUAUGUGUUGAAUUUAGUUUUACUUAAAAAUUUUUACGUACAUUGGAAUGUUCUGCGUGUAAGAGUUAUCGUGCUUGCUAUAUCGUUAGAAAGUUUUUGCCGUGUCCAAAUAAGGAGAGGCAGAUGCAAGCGAUUCUUGGAAAUGAAAACAUUUAGUAAACGCCCAAUGAAAAUUGUGCGCGGUAAAAAUCAGGACCCGGUUGUCCAGAUAGCGUCACUUUUCAUUUUCUUUUAGGACGCCGUGAAAAGUACAUGUGUGUUGGAUAGCAUCAAAUUAUUUUAAGCCGCCUCCACCCCUCCACCUUUUCCUGUUUUUUAAGGUAAUAAUGGCAGAAGCCACAGGAAUUAAACAUUCAGAGAUGGUAGAGCUGAACGAAUUUUUCAACAAAGUUAGCUCAAAAUAUUCGCACUGUAUCUGCAUCUUGCUGAAAAAUGACCUUAAAACUCCAUUAACAAAUCCAAGAAUUUACCAAGAAGAUGGGAAAAUGUAAAGUGGCCCUCAAAAUGUAAUUCAGCCAGGUGAAUUUGUAUGCCUUGGAUUUUACAAAAAUUAUCUUCCAUUUGGGCCUAAAGGUAUUGUUGCCUAUGACCUGAAAGAAUUAGGAAUAACAUUUUGCCUAUAUUUUAACAAUCCAUAUUUUGGUCAUAACAAAUUUACAAUGUAUUGGAUGAACGAGGGAAGGAAUGUAGAUCAAGAUCUCUUUCGAGCUCUUGCGAUGGAUAAUAAUAUUUGGUAUGCGCAUGGCAACAUGACCUGGCAUCAUAUGAAAUCCGACACGCACAAUGUUAAGGCUUCUGGUUUUAUAGGAGAAGGAUACACUGCCACAUUGCCAGUGGAAAUAAAAAAUACAUGAAUGCUGACUACAAUAAAA